This 253-nucleotide ribosomal RNA is filed under the name uncultured bacterium. Its description in RNAcentral is "partial 16S ribosomal RNA". It matches the Rfam family "Bacterial small subunit ribosomal RNA", at positions 524 to 776 of the family's 1533-position model. The record is from RNAcentral.
UACGGAGGGGGCUAGCGUUGUUCGGAAUUACUGGGCGUAAAGCGCACGUAGGCGGCUUUGUAAGUUAGAGGUGAAAGCCCAGGGCUCAACCCUGGAAUUGCCUUUAAGACUGCAUCGCUUGAACAUCGGAGAGGUAAGUGGAAUUCCGAGUGUAGAGGUGAAAUUCGUAGAUAUUCGGAAGAACACCAGUGGCGAAGGCGGCUCACUGGUCCGGUACUGACGCUGAUGUGCGAAAGCGUGGGGAGCAAACAGG